Molecule: ribosomal RNA, 535 nt
Filed under: uncultured Mycobacterium sp.
Lineage: Bacteria; Bacillati; Actinomycetota; Actinomycetes; Mycobacteriales; Mycobacteriaceae
Description: bacterial SSU rRNA
Rfam family: Bacterial small subunit ribosomal RNA
Source: RNAcentral
CAUGCAAGUCGAACGGAAAGGCCCUUCGGGGUACUCGAGUGGCGAACGGGUGAGUAACACGUGGGUGAUCUGCCCUGCACUUUGGGAUAAGCCUGGGAAACUGGGUCUAAUACCGAAUAGGACCGCGCUCUCCAUGGGGUGUGGUGGAAAGCUUUUGCGGUGUGGGAUGGGCCCGCGGCCUAUCAGCUUGUUGGUGGGGUAAUGGCCUACCAAGGCGACGACGGGUAGCCGGCCUGAGAGGGUGACCGGCCACACUGGGACUGAGAUACGGCCCAGACUCCUACGGGAGGCAGCAGUGGGGAAUAUUGCACAAUGGGCGCAAGCCUGAUGCAGCGACGCCGCGUGAGGGAUGACGGCCUUCGGGUUGUAAACCUCUUUCAAUAGGGACGAAGCGCAAGUGACGGUACCUAUAGAAGAAGGACCGGCCAACUACGUGCCAGCAGCCGCGGUAAUACGUAGGGUCCGAGCGUUGUCCGGAAUUACUGGGCGUAAAGAGCUCGUAGGUGGUUUGUCGCGUUGUUCGUGAAAACUCACA